CCUACGGGUGGCUGCAGUCGAGAAUCAUUCACAAUGGGGGAAACCCUGAUGGUGCGACGCCGCGUGGGGGAAUGAAGGUCUUCGGAUUGUAAACCCCUGUCAUGUGGGAGCAAAUUAAAAAGAUAGUACCACAAGAGGAAGAGACCGCUAACUCUGUGCCAGCAGCCGCGGUAAUACAGAGGUCUCAAGCGUUGUUCGGAAUCACUGGGCGUAAAGCGUGCGUAGGCUGUUUCGUAAGUCGUGUGUGAAAGGCGCGGGCUCAACCCGCGGACGGCACAUGAUACUGCGAGACUAGAGUAAGGGAGGGGGAACCGGAAUUCUCGGUGUAGCAGUGAAAUGCGUAGAUAUCGAGAGGAACACUCGUGGCGAAGGCGGGUUCCUGGACAUUAACUGACGCUGAGGCACGAAGGCCAGGGGAGCGAAAGGGAUUAGAUACCCGGGUAGUC
This 446-nucleotide ribosomal RNA is filed under the name uncultured bacterium. Its description in RNAcentral is "partial 16S ribosomal RNA". It matches the Rfam family "Bacterial small subunit ribosomal RNA", at positions 338 to 795 of the family's 1533-position model. The record is from RNAcentral.